RNAcentral lists this ribosomal RNA (458 nucleotides) under Theileria annulata. RNAcentral describes it as "SSU rRNA". It matches the Rfam family "Eukaryotic small subunit ribosomal RNA", at positions 486 to 984 of the family's 1831-position model. The record is from RNAcentral. Lineage: Eukaryota; Apicomplexa; Aconoidasida; Piroplasmida; Theileriidae.
CGGGGCUUAAAGUCUUGUAAUUGGAAUGAUGGGAAUUUAAACCUCUUCCAGAGUAUCAAUUGGAGGGCAAGUCUGGUGCCAGCAGCCGCGGUAAUUCCAGCUCCAAUAGCGUAUAUUAAAAUUGUUGCAGUUAAAAAGCUCGUAGUUGAAUUUCUGCUGCAUUGCUUGUGUCCCUCUGGGGUCUGUGCAUGUGGCUUUUUUCGGACGGAGUUUCUUUGUCUGACUGUUUACUUUGAGAAAAUUAGAGUGCUCAAAGCAGGCUUUCGCCUUGAAUAGUUUAGCAUGGAAUAAUAAAGUAGGACUUUGGUUCUAUUUUGUUGGUUUUAGGUACCAAAGUAAUGGUUAAUAGGAACAGUUGGGGGCAUUCGUAUUUAACUGUCAGAGGUGAAAUUCUUAGAUUUGUUAAAGACGAACUACUGCGAAAGCAUUUGCCAAGGAUGUUUUCAUUAAUCAAGAAC